Xiphophorus hellerii (green swordtail) is the source of this 2542-nucleotide long non-coding RNA. RefSeq lists it as uncharacterized. The transcript has 3 exons. Lineage: Eukaryota; Metazoa; Chordata; Actinopteri; Cyprinodontiformes; Poeciliidae. The record is from RefSeq and is a predicted model, not a curated record.
CCCCCAAAACAUCUGCCCUCCCUCUCAAACAAUGGAUUUUCCCAGUGAGGCUGACUGAAAACACCAGGUCCUCGUCGUCACGGCUCAUGGGCGCGCUUCCAUGGCAACGCAUGACCAGGUGACCUCAAAGAGAAGAGAGAAUGACUAAAACAAAAAUAUUACAUAAACAAGUUAUUUUCUCCAAACAAAAACAAUUCAUUUACCAGAUAAAUUAGAAUAUAGAAAGUACAAAAAUCAGCACCUGUUAGGGAGGGGGUAAAUCCCUCACAAAUACCUCACAGCCGGCCCUUUAAGAGCAUUCAUGAUCUUGAUUUGGCCCAAAACGAAAAUGAGUUUGACACCCCUGGUCUAAGUGAUGAUCUAUGACUUUCUGCUCCCUUUGGGUAUAAACCCGACAUGCGCUGGAGGCCACUGGGACGAAAGAGGAUCCACAUUUGUUUUGCCACCAAACGCAGUGAGGGGGAUGAUAAUGGAGGCAAAAAUGUACAUUUCCAAAACUCACUUUUGAAAUUUGCAGCAAAGAGCAGAACGUUAGGAUAACCAAAUGUUCUUAUCAGUCAUUGGAUAAUAUCUACAAGCUAACCGAAUGUUUGGGGGAGACGUCUGAAAAAGAAUAUUUUCCCUCCUAAACUAGUGAAUGUAAACACAUGGAGCUUCCUAAUGUUGGGUAAUGAAUAUAUGGUGAAGCACGUCAUGUCGGCUAUUAGGCAUGGAGAACAUGUGAUGCUGUGGGCCGGCUUAUCUUCCAAAUGUUCUGGGAGACUUAAUAAAAACAACAACAAAAAAAACAGGUGGUUCAAUCCAGCAAACGGAAAGUAGUUCUUCAUCGCUGACUCUUUUAGCCGGAUAAUGAUCAAAAAACGUGACCAAAUCAAAACAAAAACGAGUCACUAAAUGUAAAAUCAUCGAGUUAAAUCCUUUAGCAAACUUGGGAGCUGAAGAGAAGAAAGCAAAGGACCCCUCUCUGUGAAAUCUUGUUCCACCACGGUUCUCAGGUAAGACUGGUGGUACUAUGGAUACCGAGGUUACUUGGUAUCAACUGUUUACAAGUAAAAUAAAAAUAAAAAAGCUAGUUAGCUAAUGAGGUCAAAGAGCUGCAGAGACCCGAUUGAUCUUUGCUCUAAAUGUUCCCGUCCCCCAAAAGAAAGUGCAUUAAAUUAAAUUAGCCUGAGAAACGUACAUUGUUAUCAGGUUAAUUACAUGUUUUAAUUUUUAUUUGCCAUCACUGGUUAUGUUUGGAGGUUCUGUUAGCUUCCUCUGCACUACAGUAAUGCAGAGGAAGCCCACAUGCUCGAGCGAGUGAAACCCAACAUUAAGAGUAAUGUGAGACGCAUGAUCAAAGCUGAUCUUACUCUCUCUCUCGGCCAUAUUUGCGUUUUAUUGCUUGCAGUAAAUCACAGGAGUGCAGCGUGCUUCCAGCGCGCGGUAGAACAACCGCAGCGCGCGCGCGCGGGUCCGCUAACUCCCGCUGAACUCUGCAGCUGUCGCGCGCUGAAAUGCAAGAGCAGGUGAGAAGCAGAUGCCAGGAGGCGAAGAGAGUGAAACCCAGUCCAUGGUGGAGAGAAGCUGCAAAAGAAAAGAAGAGCUGCGUCAUCUCUAGUGAGAAGUGUGCGCUCGGAAACAAGGUCCUGACUGUGCAGAAGGCUGGAAUAGUUCAGCAGCAAAUUGGAUGACUCCUUUUGUUUCUGCGAAACAGCAACGUCUGUCUCAGAGGGCGGCCCGUCGCAUCGCCGCGUUCUCCGUCAAAAGAUGCGAAACGUUCAUUAGAAGCUUUUGGGUGUGCCAUGUUUGGACAAUAAAUUAGUCCGUCUUAAUCGCCGCUCGAUUGUUUUUGCCGCACGGAGCCGUUUCUGGAGCCAAGCAAGGAAUUACUAAUAGAUUGCCAGUCAGCAUCCGAAGGAGGUGAUUUUAAAUUAACGCCGUCACACAGAAAAAUAAAACUCGCCGUGCUUCUGCUUCUUCUUGAUUGAUUCGAUGAGAUCCUACAGGAAGUUCAUUCUUUAAACUUCAAAUGAUGUUUCAGUAUUACCUCGUAGUAAAAUGAUGGUACGUCAGAGUGUGCCUUCAGCCUAUGGUUCCUUGUAACAGGCUCUGAGCAGAUAGCCAGCCUCCAAUUUCACAAAAUUUCCCCAAGGGCUGGCAAAACUGAAUCGAUGAUCUCAUGCACCUGACUAGACCAUCUGCCUCAUUGUUAGAGAAUAUAUCCAUGCCUAAAGUAAACAUGAUCUGCUGUGCUGCUCUUAGAUUUAUUGUUUCCUACAGUAUAUUUUAUAAAAAGUCAGGUAUGUAUGCUUACAUAACUUUUAGAAAGUGAUUUGACAAAGAAAAAAAAACUAUUUUUUCAAAAGUAUUCACCCCUUUUUUCCACAUUAUGGUUACACUGCUGAAUAUACAUGUAUAUAUAUAUAUAUAUUUCUUUUUAAGGUGUUUUGACUGUAGGGCUAGGACAGGAAAGUAGGGUAAUGAGAGCGGGAGAAGACAUGCAGCAACAGUCACUAGGCAGGCCAGGAUUCGAACCUGUGACGGCCGCGCCUGUGAUGUA